UACAGAGACCUCAAGCGUUGUCCGGAUUAAUUGGGCGUAAAGCGUCCGCAGACGGCCUACUAAGUUCUUCGUUAAAUCUUUGGGCUCAACCCAAAGGCCGCGGGGAAAACUGGUGGGCUAGAGGAUGGGAGAGGCGAGCGGAAUUGCCGGUGUAGUAGUAAAAUGCGUUAAUAUCGGCAAGAACACCAAAGGCGAAGGCAGCUCGCUGGAACAUUCCUGACGUUAAGGGACGAAAGCACGGGGAGCGAAGCGG
RNAcentral lists this ribosomal RNA (253 nucleotides) under uncultured bacterium. RNAcentral describes it as "partial 16S ribosomal RNA". It matches the Rfam family "Bacterial small subunit ribosomal RNA", at positions 524 to 776 of the family's 1533-position model. The record is from RNAcentral.